CGGUUGAUCCUGCCGGACCCGACUGCUAUUUGGGUGAGGAUAAGCCAUGCGAGUCGAAUGGGAUACCUAAAUUUCCCAUGGCAGACUGCUCAAUAACACAUGAUCAACUUACCCUAUAGAGAAAAAUAACCUCGGGAAACUGAGGAUAAUGUUUCAUAGUUGAAAAGGCUUGGAAAAGUUUUUCGACUAAAGGGAUAAGAAAAAUGGUUCUUAUCCGCUAUAGGAUAGGAUCGUGGUCGAUUAUGGUCGUUGGUGAGGUAAUGGCUCACCAAGCCGAUAAUCGAUAGGGGCCGUGAGAGCGGGAGCCCCGAGAUGGGUACUGAGACAACGACCCAGGCCUUACGAGGCGCAGCAGGCGCGGAACCUCCGCAAUACACGAAAGUGUGACGGGGUUACCCAAAGUGUUCAAUUUUGAACUGUGGUAGGUGAGUAAUGUCCCCUACUAGAAAGGAGAGGGCAAGGCUGGUGCCAGCCGCCGCGGUAAAACCAGCUCUUCAAGUGGUCGGGAUAAUUAUUGGGCUUAAAGUGUCCGUAGCCGGUUUAGUAAGUUCCUGGUAAAAUCGGGUAGCUUAACUAUCUGCAUGCUAGGAAUACUGCUAUACUAGAGGGCGGGAGAGGUCUGAGGUACUACAGGGGUAGGGGUGAAAUCUUAUAAUCCUUGUAGGACCACCAGUGGCGAAGGCGUCAGACUGGAACGUGCCUGACGGUGAGGGACGAAAGCCAGGGGAGCGAACCGGAUUAGAUACCCGGGUAGUCCUGGCCGUAAACGAUGCAUACUAGGUGAUGGCACGGCCAUGAGCCGUGUCAGUGCCGUAGGGAAACCGUUAAGUGUGCCGCCUGGGAAGUACGGUCGCAAGGCUAAAACUUAAAGGAAUUGGCGGGGGAGCAC
This 889-nucleotide ribosomal RNA is filed under the name uncultured archaeon. Its description in RNAcentral is "bacterial SSU rRNA". It matches the Rfam family "Archaeal small subunit ribosomal RNA", at positions 5 to 879 of the family's 1478-position model. The record is from RNAcentral.